AUACGGAGGGUGCAAGCGUUACUCGGAAUCACUGGGCGUAAAGCGCGCGCAGGCGGUCUUUUAAGUUGGAUGUGAAAGCCUACGGCUCAACCGUAGAACUGCAUCCAAAACUAUUGGACUAGAGUGUGGGAGAGGAAGAUGGAAUUAGUUGUGUAGGGGUAAAAUCCGUAGAGAUAACUAGGAAUACCAAAAGCGAAGGCAAUCUUCUGGAACACUACUGACGCUGAGGCGCGAAAGCGUGGGGAGCAAACAGGAUUAGAAACCCCGGUAGUCC
This 274-nucleotide ribosomal RNA is filed under the name uncultured bacterium. Its description in RNAcentral is "partial 16S ribosomal RNA". It matches the Rfam family "Bacterial small subunit ribosomal RNA", at positions 523 to 796 of the family's 1533-position model. The record is from RNAcentral.